UAAAAAUUUAAAUUUAAGUGUUAAAGUAGUAUUAGUUAAGUUCUUUAAAUUUAAAAAAUUUGGCGGUAUUUUAGUCUAUUCAGAGGAACCUGUUUUGUAAUUGAUAAUCCACGAUGAAUCUUACUUAAAUUUGUUUAUUCAGUUUAUAUAUCGUCGUUUAUAGAAUAUUUUAUAAAAAAAAUAAUUUUCUUAAUUAUUAAUUAAAAAUAUAUCAGAUCAAGAUGUAGCUUAUAUUUAAGUUUAUAAUGGGUUACAUUUAUAUUAUUAUAUUGGAUCUAAGUAUGAAAUUUAUUUAGUGAAAUUGGAUUUGAUAGUAAAUUUAUAAAGAUAGAUAAAUUGAUUUUAGCUCUAAAAUAUG
This 358-nucleotide ribosomal RNA is filed under the name Dasydorylas australinus. RNAcentral describes it as "partial 12S ribosomal RNA". The record is from RNAcentral. Lineage: Eukaryota; Metazoa; Arthropoda; Insecta; Diptera; Pipunculidae.